Molecule: long non-coding RNA, 4120 nt
Organism: Gallus gallus (chicken)
Lineage: Eukaryota; Metazoa; Chordata; Aves; Galliformes; Phasianidae
Exons: 5
Source: RefSeq, a predicted model, not a curated record
GGCCAGCAGGGAGAAGCAGGGCCUCUGCAUUGCAGGACUGCAUGUUUCCUCGGCUGUCACAGGCACAAACUCGGAUGGUAAGUGUGCCAGUGCUGCUCUGGAUUGGAUAGUCAUUGUCCGAUAUCACCACUGGUAAGAGACAAUUACAGUACCAUCAGAGACUUGGAUGGCAGAUGAGAUUCCAUGUCCAAAAAGGAAGUAUUUGACUUGCUUUCUGUUGACUUGAGCAAAAAGAGUUGUCACAACUUCUGUUUGAGGGUAGGUUGAAGUACGCCUUUCAGGUAAGUUACUGUUUUUUGUUGCCAAAAUAGCCCUUUUGUACUUGUUUCCUUCAGUGUCCAUUAUUUCACAGGUUCUUGUCAAAAUGAAGAAGAGACACUGUAGAACAGCCACUGUUUACAGUUUUUUCAUACUAGCCAUUAGUUCCUCCUAUUCUCCAAGCCUUGUCUAAUGAAGACUUGGGUCAGAGUCAUAUCUUAUUUUCUAAUCUAGACCAAGCUACUACAAUGUGACAGGAAGUGAUUCUUCCAAUUACCUUAUAGGGCUUGAAGCUGAAUCAGGAUCUCGUGCCAUUACUGUUCCUAUUAUUGUCCCCAACUCAAUAUCUUCAUGAACCUCAAAAAGUGUCUGCAUCUGUGGCUUUGAUGCUGCCAAUAGGUGUCCCAACUGGAGAAGACUCAGGAAUGCGGAGGUGGAUGGUACCUGUAAAAGAGACAAAGAGCCACUCAGGAGCCCCAUAAGCCAUUACACAUGCAAGGGUGAUGUUCUUACAGAUGUUGGUCAAGAUUAAAAUGGGAGUAUCAUGGAAGAAAAAAGGUUCUCCACAUACCAAAGAGAGUGGAAGCAAGGUGAAAGAUUGUCUACAUAUCCAUGUCAGUGGGCACAAUAUCUUUACUUCUGGAAAACAGUUGGAAGUAUGACAAUUGAAACAAUGAUCCGAAAACUGUCUUUAAUCGUCCUUCUUUUCAGAACCUUGAUAACAUAUUUGUGCAGGCAGAGCAGGAAGGGCACAAGGUGCUGCUUUCUUCUGAUCUGGGAAUACUAGAGUGCAAUACUCUAUUGACACAUAGUGACCACCUGUCACAAUGGGCAGGCUGAGACAGAAACCCAGACUGAGAGGCAGUUCCCUGCUGAUGUGUGACCCAGGCAGUGCACCUGAGGAGUGAAAGACCUGCCCAGACCUUCAGCUGUGGGAAAUUCCAGAAUCUGGCAUGAAGGAAGAACAAGGUGUCAUGGGUGCAAGUGUGCCCAGAUUGAUGAACUUUUUGAGCAGGUGUCCAGAGUGUGAAGGCUGACUUAGUUACCAAGCCACUCUCCAUCUUAUUUGAGAAGUUGAGGCUGUCAGGUGAAACCCCCAGUGGCUGAAAAUGACAAAGACCUUGGGAACUAGAGGCUGGUAAAAGCCUCACAUCUCUGCCUGGGAAGAUCAUAGAGUGGAUCCUCCUGGAAGAGAUCGUAUGGCACAUGCAAGAUUCAUCAAGAUCACACCUGACCAAUCUCAUAGUCUUCUAUGAUGGAGCAACAGCAUCAGCAGACAAAGGAAAUGCAACUGAUGUAGGCUAUCUGGUCUUAUGCAAGGCCUUAAGUCAUGGACCUGCACCGCAUUCGUAUCCAUAAUUUUGAGAGAGAUGGGUUUGGGUUUGAAGGAUACACUAUUCAGUGGAUACAGAAUUGUUUGGAUAACUGUAUCCAGAGGAUGGUUUUCAAUGGUUCCAUGUCACAAUUAGCGGCCCCGAGGGGUCUGUUUUGGGACCAGUGAUUUUUAACAUCUCCAUCAACAACAUAGAGAGGAUAGAGUGCAUCCUCAUCAAGUUUGCUAACAAGACCAAGUUGAGUGGUGCAGUUGACACAAUAGAAGUAAGGGAUGUCAUCCAAAGGGACCUGGACAGAAUUGAAAAUGGAACCCACAUGAAACUAAUGAAGUUUAACAGGGCCAAGUCGAAGGUAUUGCGCCUGAAUCAGGGCAAUCCCAGAUAUGUGUGCAGACUGGGAGAAGUACUCAUUGAGAGCAAUCCUACAGAGAAGGAUUGUGAGUCCUGGUGCAUGAACCAGCAGUGUGUGCUUACAGCCCAGAAGGCCAAGAGUUUUCUGGGCUGCAUCAAAAGAACGUUGGCCAUCAAGAAGAGGGAGAUGACUGAUCCUCUCUACUGUCCGCAUAUGACCCCGUCUGGAGUACUGUGUCCAAACCCAGGGCCUCCAGCAGAGGAAGGUUGUGGAGCUGUUGGAGUGGGUCCAGAGGAAGGGUUCUGUGUUAAAUGUCAGCAUGUGAUCACAGGAGAACACAAUUAGAGGAACAGUCACUGAUACAGACACAGUUUUAAGGGGAUUUUUAAGUGUUUGGAAAAAUAUUCUGAAGAGGGCCCAGUCUAUACAUUAGGGCAAAGAGGACAAAGAGGAAUCUAUGUUUUUUUUUGUGUGUGUGUGUGUGUGUGUGUGUGUGUUUGUUUUUGAUGAAAACAAAAAACAUAGUUUUUCAUAAUUCCAAUGAGUUUCUUUGUGGGAGAAGUUUAAUUCAUCCUUUUAUAUUACUGAGUCCUGUGAAAACAUAUCAAAAUUUGUAAUAAUUGAUAAAUUUCAUAAGAAUACAAUCAUCUUAUGAACCUAACAGGAGUCUGUUAUUAGUAGAACAGAACUGAGCAGGCAUAAGUUCUCACAGUCUCAUUGAAUUCUAUUUAGAGAUUAAAAAUAAAGAUUCCUAAAAAAAAAAAAAAAAGAAGUAACCGUUGACUUUUAACUUUGUUAUAACCAGUGAAAUUACAUUAACCUUUAUAAAUAUUUUAGAUUUCAUUUCUAGUGAAACAUGUUUGUAGUUAGCAUGACUAUUGGCAGAGAGAAAAACAAAGUAAAACAAAAGCCCACCAAGAAUUAAAAUUAAUUUAAACAAAAGGUCCCAUCUAAUUCACACUGACAGUAGAAAAAUGCACAUUUAUUUCUGAGAUGCUACACCAGAUCCUCAUCCGAGUCCAAUGAAUAUCAUGUUGGACUACCAUAUAAGUCAUGUAAAUACAGUCUAGAAAGCUGAUUCCACUGUUCUAGGUAUUAGUUUCACACAGUGUUUAAGAAACAAGAACAGCAAAACAGAAAGACAAGGAAGGAAGAAGAGAGAAGAGAACAGGGAAGGCUUAACUGUAUAUUUAAUACUUAAAAAACAUCGUGGAGAUACAGAAGGACAUAAAAAGACAAAUUAACAAUAAAUACUGUCCAGAAUAGGGCUUGUGCAGCUAUGCACAAACUGUAAAUAUUCAGUUGUUUGUGAUAUUCCUAUUUGAGUGUAUUAUAAAUCCCAUACUGAUAAACAUCUUACCUAAAUACAUAUAUGCUUUAAUUACAGUGCUAAAUUGAACAAAAGCAUGUACUCCAUUUGUGCCGUAAGAACAUGCUAAAAUCAGAAUCAUUAGAACCAACUUCAGUUAUUGUAAGCCUGGAGGAUGAUUGUCAGUAACUACUGGAUUUAGUGGAGAAGAAGAACUAUUUGUUGAGAAUAACCCAAACCAUUUUGCAAAUAUUAUGAUUUCAGUGCAUGCAAAAUAUUUCAAAUACAUUUAAAAUACAUAAACUUUAAUGAAUUUCUAGUAACAUAAAUUUCCGUGUUAUAUAGAGAUCAAUAACGGUUUCAUAUUUUAGUUUGAGGUUAAAAUGUCUUGAUAGCUAUACUUUCAACAGUUAAAAAUUAGUAUAAAAUGCUUUGGUCAACAUAAGUAAUCAAAAAAUAAGUUAAAUGCCAUUUACUUCACUUCUGGAGAUCUAUCAGAUUUUGGAGCACUAUAACUAGAGAAGUACAAAUCUGCUUGAUUUCCUGCAAGUAAUUCCUUUUUCAAGUUCUACAUGAUUAAAUAUUUAAGCAGAUAAUACAAUUCAAACAUUUCUGUAUACCUGCAACAACUAUGUGUUUUAUUUUCUGGUAGGGGAAUCUCUAGGAAUUAAGCAAUAGGUAAGGGGAAAGAAAAACACUGCUCUAAUGCUCUUAUGAAUUCACCUCUCACCCUCUCCCAUAGAACUGGAAGGUAUCCUAGACCUGCCAUCACUAUAGCUGAUCAUGUAAAUGUUUUCCUAACAAAUAAGUGCUGUAACAUUUAAUAUUCUGCUUUAAUAAUAGUGAAUAAAUCAGUACAUAAGCCUU